Molecule: small nuclear RNA, 190 nt
Organism: Colossoma macropomum (tambaqui)
Lineage: Eukaryota; Metazoa; Chordata; Actinopteri; Characiformes; Serrasalmidae
Product: U2 spliceosomal RNA
Exons: 1
Source: RefSeq, a predicted model, not a curated record
AUCGCUUCCAUGCCUUUUGGCUAAGAUCAAGUGCAGUAUCCGUUCUAAUCAGUUUAAUAUCCGAUGCGUCCUCUAUACGAGGACUACAUAUUCAAUUGAUUUUUAGAACAGGGAGACGGCAGUGGAGCUUGCUUCUCCGUGCCAUACAUCGACCUGGUAUUGCAGUACCUCCAGGACUGGUGCACCUCCU